CCUACGGGUGGCUGCAGUGGGGAAUAUUGGACAAUGGGGGCAACCCUGAUCCAGCCAUGCCGCGUGUGUGAAGAAGGCCCUCGGGUUGUAAAGCACUUUCAGUGAGGAAGAACGCCUGGUGGUUAAUACCCAUCAGGAAAGACAUCACUCACAGAAGAAGCACCGGCUAACUCCGUGCCAGCAGCCGCGGUAAUACGGAGGGUGCGAGCGUUAAUCGGAAUUACUGGGCGUAAAGCGCGCGUAGGUGGCUCGAUAAGCCGGUUGUGAAAGCCCCGGGCUCAACCUGGGAACGGCAUCCGGAACUGUCAAGCUAGAGUGCAGGAGAGGAAGGUAGAAUUCCCGGUGUAGCGGUGAAAUGCGUAGAGAUCGGGAGGAGUACCAGUGGCGAAGGCGGCCUUCUGGACUGACACUGACACUGAGGUGCGAAAGCGUGGGUAGCAAACAGGAUUAGAUACCCCUGUAGUC
Molecule: ribosomal RNA, 465 nt
Filed under: Vreelandella stevensii
Lineage: Bacteria; Pseudomonadati; Pseudomonadota; Gammaproteobacteria; Oceanospirillales; Halomonadaceae
Description: partial 16S ribosomal RNA
Rfam family: Bacterial small subunit ribosomal RNA
Source: RNAcentral